UGCGGCGAACCGCAAGUUUCUUUUGCCGUUACGAAGUGUUAAUGCGCAGAUCAUCAGCUGUCUGCUUGAAUUAGCCAUUUUCUGCUUGCUCCAUAUGCUCGAUCCUGGUGAGCACAGAGAAAAAUGAUCUGUCUUGAGAUGCGAUGUAGUUUACGUUUCCCUAUCACUGAUCCACAGGUGUGUCAUCCCCUUCACAGCUCUGUGGAACAGCCCACCUUGAGUUCACCCCUGCUGGACUGGAGAGGCACUGCGGCCCCCUGUUUCCCUCCACAGGCCUCUUCAUCUGUACAGGAAGCUGGCGGUGGGCAGAUCAUCAUAUCAUGUUUGUGCUCCCAGCGGUGACUGCAGCCUCUCUUCAUCCCUUCACAGAGCUUUGCAGGGGAAACAGGCAGAAAAGGGUCAGAGCGAGAGAUUUACAGUCACCAAAAUCUGACUAAGACAAUCCAGAGGUUGUUCUGAAACAUGUUCUCAUUCUGUGUGAGAUCAGACCGUGGCACACAUGAGCAUCCCAGUCUGUUACCACCAUCUGCUGGUGACACACAGGACAGCGGACACAGAUUCAGCUCAGAACAGGUACAGUGACAGCAACACUACGUUUUCUAGGAUUUAUGUCCCAUAUCAGAGAAAUGAAAAUAUAUUGACCUAUAUGGCUGAAGAUGAUUGAAAAUAGAGGAUUUGGUCUAGUUUAGUGUCUGCUGCAUAACACAUUGCUGUGUGUGUAAUAUGAGUGCAUUUAAAAUUUAUUUUUUUUUUUUUUGUAUGUUAUAGUAUUGAGUAUGUUUGCAUGUACAGUAUUUCAUAUAUACAGUAUCUCAGUAUCAUGUAGCAGACCAUUCAACCAGUGGAAUAAAAAUCGCAGAGUUGCACUGAGGGAUGUACUAGAGAUCUAGUAACUAGAUCUGGACCAGAAAGAAACCAUGUAGUCAUGCACAAAAACACCAUAGCCCUUGCAUUAUGGCGGCAAGUUUCACACAGAUUGUCUUCAGAAAAUGUAAAAUUCUACAAUCAAAGUUGUAAAUCAAACGUAUUA
This is a long non-coding RNA of Cyprinus carpio (common carp), 1030 nucleotides long. RefSeq lists it as uncharacterized. The transcript is spliced from 3 exons. The record is from RefSeq and is a predicted model, not a curated record. Lineage: Eukaryota; Metazoa; Chordata; Actinopteri; Cypriniformes; Cyprinidae.